GCUGCUAAAGGGCUGGUGUAGUUACAGAGAAACCAGUUUUCUUCAGAGAGC
Ochotona princeps (American pika) is the source of this 51-nucleotide non-coding RNA. The record is from Rfam. NCBI's taxonomy places the organism in Eukaryota, Metazoa, Chordata, Mammalia, Lagomorpha, Ochotonidae.